CAGCCGCCACGGGAAUACGAAGGGGGCUAGCGUUGUUCGGAUUUACUGGGCGUAAAGGGCGCGUAGGCGGACUGAUAAGUCAGGGGUGAAAUCCCAAGGCUCAACCUUGGAACUGCCUUUGAUACUGUUUGUCUUGAGUUCGAGAGAGGUAAGUGGAACUGCGAGUGUAGAGGUGAAAUUCGUAGAUAUUCGGAAGAACACCAGUGGCGAAGGCGACUGACUGGACAAGUAUUGACGCUGAGGUGCGAAAGCGUGGGGAGCAAACAGGAUUAGAUACCCCAGUAGUCCCUGUCUCUUAUAC
RNAcentral lists this ribosomal RNA (301 nucleotides) under uncultured bacterium. RNAcentral's name for it is "partial 16S ribosomal RNA". It matches the Rfam family "Bacterial small subunit ribosomal RNA", at positions 509 to 807 of the family's 1533-position model. The record is from RNAcentral.